This 51-nucleotide transfer RNA is filed under the name Pagrus caeruleostictus (bluespotted sunbreak). Its description in RNAcentral is "partial tRNA-Ala". The record is from RNAcentral. Lineage: Eukaryota; Metazoa; Chordata; Actinopteri; Spariformes; Sparidae.
AAAGCUCUAGCUUAAUUAAAGCGCCUGUUUUGCAUGCAGGAGAUGUGAGUU